Non-coding RNA from Picea glauca (white spruce), 121 nucleotides. The record is from Rfam. NCBI's taxonomy places the organism in Eukaryota, Viridiplantae, Streptophyta, Pinopsida, Pinales, Pinaceae.
GGGUUAAAUAACAUUUAUUCACAAUUAUAUUGGAUCUCAUCAUAACUCCGUAGUUAAGCGUGCUUGAGCUAGAGUAGUAUUGAGAUGGGUGACCUCCUCGAAAGUCCUAGUGUUGCACCCU